This 1231-nucleotide ribosomal RNA is filed under the name soil metagenome. RNAcentral's name for it is "bacterial LSU rRNA". It matches the Rfam family "Bacterial large subunit ribosomal RNA", at positions 1402 to 2617 of the family's 2925-position model. The record is from RNAcentral.
CCGGGUUGCUAAGGGGCUGCCCUUCGGGGCGAACCGACCCACCCGGUGGCGGGUAGCGAUGGGGGGACGCAGGAGGGUAGGUCGACCCAGGCGUUGGUUGUCCCGGGGUAAGCGUGUAGGGGGGCCGGUAGGCAAAUCCGCCGGCCAUUAACUCCGAGACGCGAUGCCGAGCCGCUUCAGGCGAAGUGACUGAUCCCAUGCUGCCGAGAAAAGCCUCUAGCGAGUGGACUGGGUGCCCGUACCCCAAACCGACUCAGGUGGGCAAGUAGAGAAUACUAAGGCGAUCGAGAUAACUCUGGUUAAGGAACUCGGCAAAUUACCCCCGUAACUUCGGAAGAAGGGGGGCCUUUUCUGGUGUAGGGCUUCGCGCCCGAAGCUGGAGAGGGCCGCAGAGACCAGGGCCAAGCGACUGUUUACUAAAAACACAGGAGCGUGCGAAGUCGUAAGACGAUGUAUACGCUCUGACGCCUGCCCGGUGCCGGAAGGUUACGGGGAAGGGUUAGCCCGCAAGGGCGAAGCUCUGAACCUAAGCCCCGGUAAACGGCGGCCGUAACUAUAACGGUCCUAAGGUAGCGAAAUUCCUUGUCGGGUAAGUUCCGACCUGCACGAAUGGCGUAACGACUUGGCUACUGUCUCAACCAGAGACUCGGCGAAAUUGCACUACGAGUAAAGAUGCUCGUUACCCGCAUCAGGACGGAAAGACCCCGUGGACCUUUACUGCAGCUUGAUGUUGGGUCUUGGUUCGGCUUGUGUAGGAUAGGUGGGAGGCUUGGAAGCUGUGGCGCCAGCCAUGGUGGAGCCAACGUUGAAAUACCACCCUGGUCGUGCUGGGACUCUAACCUGGGCCCGUAAUUCGGGUCGGGGACCGCGUCAGGUGGGCAGUUUGACUGGGGCGGUCACCUCCCAAAAUGUAACGGAGGUGCCCAAAGGUUCCCUCAGCCUGGUUGGCAAUCAGGCGUCGAGUGCAAAGACACAAGGGAGCUUGACUGCGAGACCAACAAGUCGAGCAGGUGCGAAAGCAGGGCUUAGUGACCCGGCCGUGGCGUGUGGAAGCGCGGUCGAUCAACGGAUAAAAGGUACCCCGGGGAUAACAGGCUCAUCUUGCCCAAGAGUCCAUAUCGACGGCAAGGUUUGGCACCUCGAUGUCGGCUCGUCGCAUCCUGGGGCUGAAGCAGGUCCCAAGGGUUGGGCUGUUCGCCCAUUAAAGCGGUACGCGAGCUGGGUUUAGAAC